Molecule: ribosomal RNA, 252 nt
Filed under: uncultured bacterium
Lineage: Bacteria
Description: partial 16S ribosomal RNA
Rfam family: Bacterial small subunit ribosomal RNA
Source: RNAcentral
UACGUAGGGGGCAAGCGUUGUUCGGAAUUAUUGGGCGUAAAGCGCGCGCAGGCGGCGGAUUAAGUUUGGUGUUUAAGCCCGGGGCUCAACCCCGGAUCGCACUGAAAACUGGUUCGCUUGAGUGCGGGAGAGGAAAGUGGAAUUCCACGUGUAGCGGUGAAAUGCGUAGAGAUGUGGAGGAACACCAGUGGCGAAGGCGACUUUCUGGACCGUAACUGACGCUGAGGCGCGAAAGCGUGGGGAGCAAACAGG